AUCUUUUUAGUAUAAAUAAUAUACUUGACUUCCAAUCAAGAGAUCUUAAUUUAAGAAAAGAUA
RNAcentral lists this transfer RNA (63 nucleotides) under Aelia fieberi. RNAcentral's name for it is "tRNA-Gly". It matches the Rfam family "tRNA". From Rfam's summary of the family: Transfer RNA (tRNA) molecules are approximately 80 nucleotides in length. Their secondary structure includes four short double-helical elements and three loops (D, anti-codon, and T loops). Lineage: Eukaryota; Metazoa; Arthropoda; Insecta; Hemiptera; Pentatomidae. The record is from RNAcentral.